UCUGCGGGCAGAUGAAGUGCACAUGCGUGUCGAUCGCGCCGGCCGUCAGGAUGCGGCCGUUCCCCGCGAUGACCUCGGUCGUCGGCCCGACCACCAGGUCCGGGUGGACGCCGUCCAUGGUGUCGGGGUUGCCGGCCUUGCCGAGCGCGACGAUGCGGCCGUCGCGGAUCCCGACGUCGGCCUUGACGAUGCCCCAGUGGUCGAGCACGACCACGCCGGUGAUGACGACGUCCGGGGCGCCCUCGGCCCGGGUGGCCCGGCCCUGGCCCAUCGACUCG
RNAcentral lists this small RNA (278 nucleotides) under zebrafish metagenome. RNAcentral's name for it is "5' ureB small RNA". It matches the Rfam family "5' ureB small RNA". The record is from RNAcentral.